This 1240-nucleotide long non-coding RNA is filed under the name Equus asinus (donkey). Its description in RNAcentral is "lncRNA (ENSEASG00005034361.1)". Lineage: Eukaryota; Metazoa; Chordata; Mammalia; Perissodactyla; Equidae. The record is from RNAcentral.
UAACAACUUUUUGUGACGUGCUAACACAUUUUUAGAGUAAUUAUUGCAUGGUAGAAUUUAUCACUCCAGAACAGAAAGACCUAACUUCAGUUUCAAAUGAAGUUAACUAAUUUAUUUUAUUUACAUUUCUGGGUAAAAACUGGUUCUAUAAAUUAAGAAGUAUAGUCGCUUCUCUAUGGUAAAGAUAUCUUUCUGAAAAGUAAACAAUUCUGUUGAAAUAACUUUACUAAUAUGUAGAUUUUGCACUUUAUUUUUGAGACCUCAUUCAUUUAGUUAUCCUUGAAAAUUUGGACACUAAAAGAACUUGAGAAAGUUACUUGGUAAAUGUGUAGAAACUGAAAAUGGACUCUGUCUUUGGUAACGAAGAGGUAACGUCAAUAUUUUUAAUAGAAAACAUUGACCCUGAGUCACUGACUCUGGGUCCUAAAGUCCCAUAAUGUAAUGACUGUAAAUAUCCUAGUGUCCAGUCUACAAAGACUUGCUAGGUGAAGAAUAUUAGACUUUCCUAAAGGUCCAGUUUAAUUUUUAUACCUUAAAUUUGGCCCUAUUUUGUCCUUUUUAAUUUGAACCAACAAGGUACUCCCCCUCCCCUCAGGAAUAACUUAUUAUCACUGAGUGGAAUGUUCAUUUUAUGCCAGUUAUUUCAAGUUUUAAAAUACACAGAACAAAAUAUUGUGGAAGGACCUCUUUGUCUUUUUCCCAUCUAAGUUUUUUUUUAUUUGUCCUUAUGUGGAAUAAGUAAAACUAAUUUGUCUAUUAUUCACCAGAGAUGCAGGUGGCGGUCAAGCCAAACAACACUGUGUUAAGAUCAGGUAUCCUGCACAUUCAUUCCAAGGUAACAGAUUUUCAAAAGGCCUUGGAUUCAAAAAGAUGUCAGAUUAUAAGCCAUCUGAAGACCCAAUUCGGAAAAAAUGUGUGUAGCUAAUGUUUAUAUUGUGGUCUCUCUUAAGACACAUUGGCACUGUAGACUUCGAUCAGUGCAUUUGAAAAUUCUGGAGUAGGUUACAUAUAGAUUUUACAUUUUUAUUGUUUAAUUUGUGCCCACAUAAAUAGAUAUUUCAUCAUGUAAGAUUCCUGUUAUUCUGGAAAAACCUAUUGUUUUGAUCUUGAAUUAUUUUCUGAUUUGGAAUUAUCCUUUCAAAAAACUCUUAAGAUGUCUAGGGCUAAAAAGCACUUCAUGAGAUGCUAAAGAUGACCCACAGGUUGAAAAUGUUACCCUAUCCUGUUAUUUAAAUGUGAA